CUACGUGCCAGCAGCCGCGGUAAUACGUAUGUCACGAGCGUUAUCCGGAUUUAUUGGGCGUAAAGCGCGUCUAGGUGGUUAUAUAAGUCUGAUGUGAAAAUGCAGGGCUCAACUCUGUAUUGCGUUGGAAACUGUAUAACUAGAGUACUGGAGAGGUAAGCGGAACUACAAGUGUAGAGGUGAAAUUCGUAGAUAUUUGUAGGAAUGCCGAUGGGGAAGCCAGCUUACUGGACAGAUACUGACGCUGAAGCGCGAAAGCGUGGGUAGCAAACAGGAUUAGGUACCCUGGUAGUCCACGCUGUAAACGAUGAUUACUAGGUGUUGGGGGUCGAACCUCAGCGCCCAAGCAAACGCGAUAAGUAAUCCGCCUGGGGAGUACGUACGCAAGUAUGAAACUCAAAGGAAUUGACGGGGACCCGCACAAGCGGUGGAGCAUGUGGUUUAAUUCGACGCAACGCGAGGAACCUUACCAGCGUUUGACAUC
RNAcentral lists this ribosomal RNA (484 nucleotides) under uncultured bacterium. RNAcentral describes it as "bacterial SSU rRNA". It matches the Rfam family "Bacterial small subunit ribosomal RNA", at positions 501 to 988 of the family's 1533-position model. The record is from RNAcentral.